Non-coding RNA from Rattus norvegicus (Norway rat), 63 nucleotides. The record is from Rfam. Lineage: Eukaryota; Metazoa; Chordata; Mammalia; Rodentia; Muridae.
GGGGAUUUAGCUCAGUGGUAGAGUGCUUGCCUAGCAAGCGCAAGGCCCUGGGUUCAGUCCCCA